RNAcentral lists this unclassified non-coding RNA (268 nucleotides) under Basidiomycota sp. Its description in RNAcentral is "partial contains small subunit ribosomal RNA, internal transcribed spacer 1, and 5.8S ribosomal RNA". The stretch from base 1 to 47 matches the Rfam family "Eukaryotic small subunit ribosomal RNA", at positions 1785 to 1831 of the family's 1831-position model. The record is from RNAcentral. Lineage: Eukaryota; Fungi; Basidiomycota.
AAAGUCGUAACAAGGUUUCCGUAGGUGAACCUGCGGAAGGAUCAUUAUCGAUUCAAAAAGGAUGUGCUGGCCACAAGGCAUAAGUGCACUCCGAAUCCACAUCUCCCUGUGCACUUACUGUGGGUAAAUGGGCUUUGUCCCAAUUGCUCAUGUUUUUUUACACUCUUAUCAUAUAUCAUGAAUGUACAUGGAGUAGGCUUUGUUUCAAAGCUGAAAAAUAAAAUAAAAUAAAACAAUACAACUUUCAACAAUGGAUCUCUUGGUUCUC